UAAAUUGCUGUGGUAUUAUGACUAUACGAAGGUAUUGAAAUAAGGCUUUAAAUGGGUGCUAAGAGAAUGGUUUAACAAGGAUUGACUUUUUUCUUCUUUUUAUUAAAAUUUGGUAAAAAAAUGAGGAAAUUUUUAUGAAAAUUUGGGACAAGAAGACCCUAUGAAUUUUUUAUGAAGAAAUUGUUAGAUAAAGUUUAUUAUUUUUUGUAAUUUUUUUUUAGUUGGUUGGGGUGACUUUUAAAGAACAUUUAUCUUUAAAAUAGUUGUAAUUUGAUCCAAUAAUAUUGAUUAUUUAAAUUAAAUACUCUAGGGAUAACAGCGUUAUUACUUUGGAUAGUUCAUAUAGAUAAAGUAGAUUGCGACCUCGAUGUUGGAUUAAGAUACUUUUAUGAUGUAGAAGUUGUAAAAAGAAGUUUGUUCAACUUU
This 426-nucleotide ribosomal RNA is filed under the name Ornithodoros brasiliensis. RNAcentral's name for it is "partial 16S ribosomal RNA". The record is from RNAcentral. Lineage: Eukaryota; Metazoa; Arthropoda; Arachnida; Ixodida; Argasidae.